This 253-nucleotide ribosomal RNA is filed under the name uncultured bacterium. RNAcentral describes it as "partial 16S ribosomal RNA". It matches the Rfam family "Bacterial small subunit ribosomal RNA", at positions 524 to 776 of the family's 1533-position model. The record is from RNAcentral.
UACGGAGGGUGCAAACGUUGCUCGGAAUCAUUGGGCGUAAAGCGCACGUGGGCGGCCUGUUAAGUCGGGUGUGAAAGCCCUGGGCUCAACCCAGGAAGUGCACUCGAAACUGGCGGGCUUGAAUAUGGAAGAGGGUCGCGGAAUUCCCGGUGUAGAGGUGAAAUGCGUAGAUAUCGGAAGGAACACCUGUGGCGAAAGCGGCUCACUGGACCAUCACUGACACUGAGGCACGAAAGCUAGGGGAGCAAACAGG